This is an RNA transcript of Manihot esculenta (cassava), 2994 nucleotides long. RefSeq lists it as uncharacterized. The transcript is spliced from 3 exons. NCBI's taxonomy places the organism in Eukaryota, Viridiplantae, Streptophyta, Magnoliopsida, Malpighiales, Euphorbiaceae. The record is from RefSeq and is a predicted model, not a curated record.
CGGUCAAAUAAUGAGCAGGAAAAGAGAAAAAAAAAAAAAAAAAACAAUAAUCCGGAAAUGAGAGAGCCUUGACAGAUUGAAGAAGGGUUACAGAGAGGAGGUGAGGUCAGCGCCGGCCAUGGAAUCCAAUACCGGCAUCUUGAUUUUCGGUGUCCUUACAAGUGAGGAAGCUUCGUCGAGGGAAAUUUCCCCUCGGAAAAUCGCGGGUAUAGAGAGAAAGAAGAGGACACGAAGCUUCUAAACCCUUUUACGGCUAUUUCCAGCGCCCACUAGAAUCCUGAAGCUCCGGAACCACUAUCAGACCGUCUGUGCAGCGUCUGAGUCGCCGGAGUAGGAGUUUGAUUUUUGGAGACUGAAAUUUUGAGCCUUCGAUUCGGUUGAUUGGGCGUCUUUUUGGGCGCGCGUCUGGCAUAGGAGUGACCAGCAGAGCAUUUUAAGGUCUGUGGUGUGAACUUCUACACCGUACGCCGCCUUCAGUGGAAGCGCGUGGUGCUGACGCGCCGGCGAUAUUUCAGCGACAAUUUCGUCCUGCAGAUUGUUUUUACCUCCUUUUCAGCUUUCUUGAGUCCUUUGAGUUUAGUUCCAUUUGUUUUGUGAAGGGAAUGUUGAAAUAAAAAUCUCGUUGAAUUUGCUAUUGGUUUGGAGAUAAUGGUUCGUGGAAGAGAUGCAUGCUGGGAACACUGUGUUCUCGUGGAUGCAACAAGACAGAAGGUGAGAUGUAACUAUUGUCAUAGGGAAUUCAGUGGAGGUGUUUAUCGCAUGAAGUUUCAUUUGGCACAAAUAAAAAACAAAGAUAUAGUCCCCUGUGGAGAAGUUCCAGAUGAUGUGCGGGAUCAUAUUCAAAGUAUACUAAGCACUCCUAAGAAACAAAAAACUCCCAAGAAACAGAAGGUGGACCGAGCCACCAAUGGUCAACAAAAUAGCUCUUCUGCUAGUGGUGGCCUUCAUCCUAACCAUGGCUCCAGUGGCCAACAUGGUAGUACCUGCCCCUCUUUGUUAUUUCCACGCCCUUCGCCUAGUGCACAGCCAGCAAUGAUAGUGGACGAUGCUGAAAAGCAAAAACAGGAUAAUGCAGAUAAAAAAAUUGCUCUGUUUUUCUUGCAUAACUCUAUUGCUUUUAGUGCUGCAAAAUCUAUGUAUUAUCAAGAGAUGUUUGAUGCUGUAGCUGAGUGUGGGGUGGGUUACAAAGCUCCAAGUUAUGAAAAGCUGAGAUCCACGCUAUUGGAAAAAGUGAAAGGUGAUGUACAUGAUUGGUACAAGAAAUAUAGAGAUGAGUGGAAAGAAACAGGUUGCACAAUCUUGUGUGACAGCUGGUCUGAUGGAAGAACCAAGUCAGUUAUUGUAAUUUCAGUUGCAUGCCCCAAAGGGACACUAUAUCUGAAAUCAGUUGAUAUAUCAGGUCAUGCAGAUGAUGCUAAUUACUUGUUUGAGUUGCUUGAGUCAGUUGUCUUGGAAGUUGGUGCAGAAAAUGUUGUACAAGUAAUAACGGAUAAUGCUGCCAGUUACAUAUAUGCAGGGAGGCUUCUCAUGGCCAAGUACAGCUCCUUGUUUUGGUCGCCUUGUGCUUCUUACUGUAUCAAUAAGAUGCUGGAGGAUAUUGGUAAACUGGAGUGGGUGAGAACAGUCUUGGAAGAGGCAAAAACCAUCACUGGCUACAUAUAUAAUAACAUAUGGACCUUAAAUAUGAUGAGAAAGUUCACAGGUGGAAUGGAACUGAUCAGGCCUAGAAUCACUAGAUAUGUAAGUAAUUAUCUUUCCUUGAGGUCCAUUGUUAUCCAGGAGGACAAUUUAAAGCAUAUGUUCUCUCAUUCAGAGUGGUUAUCAUCCAUCCAUAGCAGACGUCCAGAUGCUCAAGUCAUUAAAUCUUUGUUGUUUCAAGAUCGCUUUUGGAAGUUUGCACAUGAAGCUGUUAGUGUCUCUGAACCACUUAUUAAAAUUUUAAGGAUGGUUGAUGGAGACAUGCCUGCUAUGGGAUAUAUUUAUGAAGGAAUGGAGAGGGGGAAAAUUGCAAUCAAGACAUAUUAUAAGGGCGUUGAAGAAAAAUAUAUGCCAAUUUGGGAUAUAAUCGAUCAAAGAUGGAAUAUACAGCUCCACUCAUCUUUGCAUGCUGCAGCAGCAUUCCUUAACCCGUCAAUUUUCUACAACCCAACUUUUAAAAUUGAUUUACACAUGAGGAAUGGGUUUCAAGAAGCUAUGAUCAAGAUGGCUACUUCAGAUAAAGAUAAAAUAGAAAUCACCAAAGAGCAUCCAGUGUUCAUAAAUGCUCAAGGUGCUCUUGGUACUGAUUUUGCAAUCAUGGGCAGGACACUGAAUUCUCCAGGUACGCGUGAGUUGUGGUGGUUAUUAUUAUACAUGAAUGGUCGUCUUAACAUGGUUUCUAAGGUGCUUGCUGGCCUUAGAGUGUAUAUUCUCCUUAUAUGUGCCAGCUGUGAAGCAGCAUUGCAGUCUAUCAAUCUAUUUCACCUGUACAUUGUGUACCAAAACAAUUGGGAGUUUCCUUUUUCCGCUUUGAUGGGGUAAUUUUGGUCCUUGGUAGAAGAAACAUUCAAGGAUGAGAGAAUAGAGUACCAUGUUAAACUGGUCAAUUGUAUCUACUUUAGAUCUUUAGACCUGUCCUUUGGGACUUGGUUCCAUAUAUGAUUGGCUCCACAUUUUGUGCUGGAAUAGUCUUGCAUGUUAGGAGAAAGUUGAUCAAUGGAUACAGAAUCCUUACUCUGAAGGUGAUUGGUGGGCUGGAUAUGGCUAUGAGAUUCCCACUUUGCAGAGAGUUGCUAUAAGAAUACAUAGCCAACCUUGUAGUUCCCACUGGUGCAGAUGGAACUGGAGCGCCUUUGAGAGCAUUCAUUCCAAGAAACGCAACAAAAUGGAGCUGGAUAAGUUAAAUGAUUUGGUUUUUGUGCAUUGUAACCUGUGGUUAGAAUCCAUAAGCCGAAGUAGGAAUGGGAAGUGUAAACCUAUUAUCUAUGAUGAAAUAGAUGUUAGUUCUGAAUGGCC